Podarcis raffonei (Aeolian wall lizard) is the source of this 985-nucleotide long non-coding RNA. RefSeq lists it as uncharacterized. The record is from RefSeq and is a predicted model, not a curated record. Lineage: Eukaryota; Metazoa; Chordata; Lepidosauria; Squamata; Lacertidae. The transcript is spliced from 2 exons.
CCAGAGGUUCUUGUGCCCCAUUCUUAACCUUUCUGGCUCAGCAGAAUGGAGAACCUCAACAUGAUCAAAAUCUCUUAACAAAAUUUUAAAAGUUGUUGCAUUUUUAAUUUUAUUUGGUUUAAUUUUUUAAAUAAACUGUUCUUUCAUCAUCAUCAUCAUCAUCAUCAAUGGUAGGCAGUCUACCAACAUGAAAACAUAAUGGUACAAUAAUAUUGAUUAAAAAGCAGAUAGCGUAAGGAGGGCCUGCCCCCAAAAUGGUCCAGUCAGUCAAUCAUGCCUUCCGUGAUACUCCAUUCUGUUUGCCCUCCUACAUCAUUUUUUGGGGUCACCCACACACCCCAAGUCAGUAUUCCAGGGCUAUUCAGCACAUUCAGUCCCUAUUAGGCUGUUUGGGACAUUUUGCCUUGGGAUCGCCAUGUCUAGCCCAGCACCCUGUUCUCACAGUGGCCAACCAGAUAAGCAGAGCCUGGUAGGUCCCUCUUCUGCUUGGUCCUGUUUGGGGGCUACGUAAAGGAACCAGAGAACUGAGAUGGCUUUCAAGGAUGGUGAAUCUGCCCUGCAGACCAAGAGCAUGGCCAGUGGUCAGGGAUGAUGGGAACUGGAGUCCAGAACCUUCUGGAGCUCCACAGUUACCCAUCUCUGAGAGAGGGAAAGGUAACAAAAGUUUAGAAAAUUAUAAUUGGCCAAGAACAGUAGAACACCUCUCAUCUAAUAAAACCAAAUGGCAAUAGGCUCCAGACAGAUGAGCUCUUCAGGCAACACCUAUUUACUUAUUUAUUAUCUUCGAUAGUUGUUCUUUGCCCAAAGGUGUCAUAGGUAAUUACAGGUAGUCCAUAAACAUUAUUGCACAUAAACAAGCCAGGAAGUAGUGACAAAGCUGUGCAGCAGUUCACUGAGGGAUAGGUAGACUCACAACCUGAACUUCCUGGUUUUGGCAGACUCUUUCCAUCCCAGGAUGUGAGAUCUGUCUGUUGUAAUCAGCUGG